Molecule: microRNA, 24 nt
Filed under: Lotus japonicus
Lineage: Eukaryota; Viridiplantae; Streptophyta; Magnoliopsida; Fabales; Fabaceae
Description: lja-miR11165-3p
Source: miRBase by way of RNAcentral
CAUAAAAGGAAACCUCAAUGUAGC